Molecule: non-coding RNA, 718 nt
Organism: Microcebus murinus (gray mouse lemur)
Lineage: Eukaryota; Metazoa; Chordata; Mammalia; Primates; Cheirogaleidae
Source: RefSeq, a predicted model, not a curated record
AAUUCUCUUUCCAAGGCUCCCUUGCAGCUAGAACGUACCCAUACAGCCCAGGCUUUGCCAACCAGACACAUUACCCCAGAACUUGAAUCAGGAUCUAGUGUCACAGAGUCAGAGGACCACAAAGAGUCCAUGCUGGGGUGUAGCAAGAAAUAAUGGCCAUUAAGUCCAGUGCAGCUGGCAGUAGCUGUGUAAGUGGUGCUGGCUGUGUGACAAAAAUGUUUUCAAUUAGAUAGCGGUGACAGCUGCACAACUUUGUGACCAUAUUAAAACGGAUGUGGACCAGGCUGAUGAGGAAUGGAAGAGCACACAUAUAAAAUGUUUGACACUGAGCCCGUGACCUCCAGGGAAGCAGUCCUAGGCAGAAAUACGGACUGUUACUCAAUUAUUCAGCAGAGUUGAUCCAAAAGCACUGCUUCUACAAAUGGAGAAACCAUUGGAGUAUAUACACCUGCAAAGGAGAAAGAGCCUGAGGGCACCAAGCAAAUUCAACCCGGAGAGCGAUCCACUGUAGCUUUCAGUAACAAGAAUUGGAUCCUACUGGUUGGUAGUCUAUCUCCUCACUUCCUAUUUACCCUUCGAAGUGGGUACUGAAAAGCCCAUUCCCAAGUAGAGGCCCUUUGUACAGGGCACUACAGUCGCCUGGUGGAAACACCUUGGCAGAGUUCGUUUUGGUGCCAGGAUGGGCUACUGAGGGAAUCUGCGGUGGAAGAGAGAGAGA